RNAcentral lists this long non-coding RNA (2773 nucleotides) under Homo sapiens (human). RNAcentral describes it as "non-protein coding lnc-TMEM255B-5:30". The record is from RNAcentral. Lineage: Eukaryota; Metazoa; Chordata; Mammalia; Primates; Hominidae.
GGCCGGAAAAGAGGCAUAAACUCGGAGAACCCAAGACCCCGGCCUGGCGUGCAGCCCCAGCAGCCGGACCAGCCUUGGGCAACAGCGUGCGACGUUCAGCUGUCUGUGUCUCCAGUGCUCCCAUUCCAUCGCACCUGAAUGAGGGAUUUGGGAGAGAGACACAGCCUCUCGUCGGAACGCUCCUGCACACCCUUCUCGCAACCCCCACCACCUGCCCCCCACUCCCGACCAGAGCAGCCGCCGUCCUGGUGUCUCCCAUCAGAGGGCUGAGCGUGCGUUCGAGCUUCUCCUGCAUCAUGACCAGGAUGCUCUGGGACACCUUGUCCACGUCUGUGUCCACCAGUCCUGCUCAGAAUCUCCCCAGGGGCUUUUCCACGAUGCCCAUCCAGGCGUCACCCUCACUCUAGGCCAGGAGGAGAAGGCAUGCCCUGAGGAUUCAGCCUCUUCUUCUUCAUCCCUCCCAGCACCCAGUGUGUUGGGUGCACACACAGGUGUCGGGCCCCAGGCUGGAGGCCACGUGCCAGGCUGGCAGGAUUUGUCCACUGUGAAGCUCGACGCCCCCGCAGGCCCUGUGCUGCCCGCCCGGAUCCCCCUGCCUCAGGAUGCCCUCCACACCCUCCGAAUUCCCAGCCGCUGCUCUGGGGCCUGCACAGAGGGCUUGGGCCCAGCACCUGGAAACUCCAAAGAGGCAAACGGGUUCAUGUCCAGGUUUUGUCAGAUCGCUUCCGAGGCUGCCCUCUUCGCCGUGGCUGCUGAGUGCAGAGCUGGGCAUCUGAGUGGACAGAGUGGUGCUCCGCUUCCUUGCAUCUCCUGGGCCAUGCGUGGUGACCUGUGCCCACUGCAUCGCUCCUGUGUGCCCUGUGCAUGUGACCGUGUCUUUCCCGUGUAUUCAGUGCUGCUUCAUGUCUUCCAGUUCCGCUUUGUGGUUUGUGAGUGACCAGUGCAUCCCGUUCCUGCUGCAGCAGCUGCAAUGUGCACUGUCCUGCAGGAAGCCCUCGGGGUAGGGCCUGGGGGCUGUGGGAAGCUCAGCAACAAGUGCUCCAUUAUGCCAGGAGGUCUCCUCAGGAUGAGCCCCAUGUGCAGCCUACAUUGUGCUACUCUCUCAGAUCCAGUGUGCAGCUCUCCUCCUGGGACUUCCCUCCACAACUUUUCUCAGUUGAAUCCACUAUGUGUUGGAUCCCAGGUCUUCCUCUUUAUUUUCUCCUUCAUUUUGCUGGAGCACAUCCUCAAGUAACUUUCUAAAAUAAGUUUAAACAGGUAAAUGUUUUGGAAGGUUGAAUGCCACAAAACAUCUUUAUUCUACCUUCAUACUUGACUCAUAAUAUUGCUGGAACCAAUUUCUAAGUUCAAAAUCAUUUUUCAGGAGCUAGGAAUUGAACUCAACCUAUCUAAUUCCAAAAUUAGGGUUAUUUUAUUUGACACGAUCUCUGGCUAGGAAGCAAGCACAACAGCUCCACCGUUAUUGGCAAGUUACUGAAAGCAACCCUUUGACAGCAGCCGCAGAUCCACAGCCAUACAGAAUUUUCCUUUUUAAACAAGUUGCUCACCAUUAGGAUGCUCUGAUUUCUCCAUUUGUAAAAUGAAGAUUCUCUGUCAACUUUUGGUUUUAGUUUUUGGUCUGGCAUAUUUGGUAAGCUACAAGUGAUCUUUGGCUGAAAAUCAGUCAUGUGUGGCGGGUCGUUUCACCAGGUGCCCUGCACCCAGAGAUCUAGGGCCCUCAAUCGUCCUUCAGUUGCUGUCAGUGCAAGGGCAAUCUCACCCAACCCUCCACAGGGAAAGGCAACUGCCACACGCCUCUGAGAGCAGGGAUGCAGCAAGCGCUGACUCUGGGCUUACAGGGGUCCCGCCCAUAACAGCGCACCACAGACCAGGGCUCACCCCACAAACAUUUUUCUCGCUCAGUCCUGGAGGCAGAAAGGCCAACAUCAGGGUGCCAGCAUGGCUGGCGUCUGGUGAGGCUCUCUUCCUGGUUUGCAGACUGUUGCCAUGGUAUUGUGAUAAUAACAAAAUAUAGAUUUGGUCUUCGUCCCAGAUUCCCAACACCAGAGCUUCUAAGAGACCUGGAACCUCUUGAGUGAUGAGCGUGUCUUUUGUGUGCUGACGAGAGGACAGAGCUGGUGACCCUUGGGCAGCUUCAGGAAGGGACUGCUCCCCAGAAAGACCAAGGCAGGACUUAUAGGUGAGGACUUUCAGAUCCACCCCAACCUCCAGGAAGCGGGAGGGGAGAGAGGACAGGAGCUGAAGAUGGAACUGAUUACCGAUGGCCAAGAAUUUAAUCCAUUAUUCUGUUAAUGAAAAACCAAACUCUGUAAAACAUUUUAAAGAGGUUUAUUGGGACCCCUAAUACGGUGACCACAGCUUGGAGAAAAAACAAACCCAAGAAGCCUAGAGUGAGUGUUCCUGAGGUGCCUGGAUUACAGUCUGGCUUCAUGCACUUUAGGGGACAGGCGUUACAGGUGGACGAGAUAUAUAUUGGCUCAGCUCGAACACGCGGGAUAUCUGGAAGCAAGCCUUAUCGGUUAUAGGUGGAUUCAGAGAGUCUUCAGUUUGCGGCUGGUUAAAGGAGCAAAGCUUUAUCUAAAACCUAGAGUCAGCGAUGAGGACAUCUGCACCCGAAACAUGGGGCAGGGGUGACUAACAGGGUGCAUGACUUGACUUAACCCUCGUCUGACAUGGUCUUGGGUCCUGUUUGUAACUGGGGCUCUUAUUGCCACGGUCAGUUCUGUCAGCCUUCUGAUCUCUGUUUUGACAUUAAUGCCUAAAUUCCAAAGGG